GACGAACGCUGGCGGCGUGCUUAACACAUGCAAGUCGAACGGAAAGGCCCUGCUUUUGUGGGGUGCUCGAGUGGCGAACGGGUGAGUAACACGUGAGUAACCUGCCCUUGACUUUGGGAUAACUUCAGGAAACUGGGGCUAAUACCGGAUAGGAGCUCCUGCUGCAUGGUGGGGGUUGGAAAGUUUCGGCGGUUGGGGAUGGACUCGCGGCUUAUCAGCUUGUUGGUGGGGUAGUGGCUUACCAUGGGUUUGACGGGUAGCCGGCCUGUGAGGGUGACCGGGCAGAUAGGGAUUGAUGUACGGCCGAGACUUCUACGUGAGGCAGGAGUGGGGAAUAUUGCACAGCGGGCGGAAGCCCGGUGCAGGAACGUCGCGAGCGGGAUGACGGCCUUCGGGUUGAAAACCGCUUUCGUCUGUUACGAAGCGAGAGUGACGGUAAUGGGUAGAGAAGCACCGGCUAACUACGUG
This 468-nucleotide ribosomal RNA is filed under the name uncultured bacterium. RNAcentral describes it as "partial 16S ribosomal RNA". It matches the Rfam family "Bacterial small subunit ribosomal RNA", at positions 28 to 507 of the family's 1533-position model. The record is from RNAcentral.